This 351-nucleotide ribosomal RNA is filed under the name uncultured bacterium. Its description in RNAcentral is "partial 16S ribosomal RNA". It matches the Rfam family "Bacterial small subunit ribosomal RNA", at positions 338 to 681 of the family's 1533-position model. The record is from RNAcentral.
CCUAGGGGAGGCAGCAGUGGGGAAUGUUGGACAAUGGGCGCAAGCCUGAUCCAGCUAUUCCGCGUGUGGGAUGAAGGCCCUCGGGUUGUAAACCACUUUUGUAGAGAACGAAAAGACACCUUGUAAGAAAGGGUGUUGCUGACGGUACUCUAAGAAGAAGCACCGGCUAACUACGUGCCAGCAGCCGCGGUAAUACGUAGGGUGCGAGCGUUAAUCGGAUUUACUGGGUGUAAAGGGAGCGAAGACGGCUGUGCAAGUCUGGGGUGAAAGGCGGGGGCCCAACCCCCGGACUGCUCUGGAAACUGUAAAGCUGGAGUGCAGGAGAGGUAAGCGGAAUUCCUAGUGUAGCGG